Lupinus angustifolius (narrow-leaved blue lupine) is the source of this 147-nucleotide small nucleolar RNA. It matches the Rfam family "small nucleolar RNA snoR137". NCBI's taxonomy places the organism in Eukaryota, Viridiplantae, Streptophyta, Magnoliopsida, Fabales, Fabaceae. The record is from Rfam.
GUUGCUUCUUAUGGUGAACUCCCUUUUAUUUUAAAGUAGGGGUUGUUCUAGUUUCCGAAGCAUAUAGAAAUAUCAAAUAACCAGUUUUAAACAGCGUUGUGUAAUCUUUUAUAUCUUACACUAUGCUACCUGUCUACUGGUACAAUU